AUUGAACGCUGGCGGCAUGCCUUACACAUGCAAGUCGAACGGCAGCACGGGUGCUUGCACCUGGUGGCGAGUGGCGAACGGGUGAGUAAUACAUCGGAACAUGUCCUGAAGUGGGGGAUAGCCCGGCGAAAGCCGGAUUAAUACCGCAUACGAUCUACGGAUGAAAGCGGGGGACCUUCGGGCCUCGCGCUAUAGGGUUGGCCGAUGGCUGAUUAGCUAGUUGGUGGGGUAAAGGCCUACCAAGGCGACGAUCAGUAGCUGGUCUGAGAGGACGACCAGCCACACUGGGACUGAGACACGGCCCAGACUCCUACGGGAGGCAGCAGUGGGGAAUUUUGGACAAUGGGCGAAAGCCUGAUCCAGCAAUGCCGCGUGUGUGAAGAAGGCCUUCGGGUUGUAAAGCACUUUUGUCCGGAAAGAAAUCCUUGGCCCUAAUACGGUCGGGGGAUGACGGUACCGGAAGAAUAAGCACCGGCUAACUACGUG
RNAcentral lists this ribosomal RNA (486 nucleotides) under uncultured bacterium. RNAcentral describes it as "partial 16S ribosomal RNA". It matches the Rfam family "Bacterial small subunit ribosomal RNA", at positions 30 to 507 of the family's 1533-position model. The record is from RNAcentral.